Molecule: long non-coding RNA, 513 nt
Organism: Bactrocera oleae (olive fruit fly)
Lineage: Eukaryota; Metazoa; Arthropoda; Insecta; Diptera; Tephritidae
Source: RefSeq, a predicted model, not a curated record
CGGAAACAAUUGCCCGAAGUUUUUAGUUAAUCAAUAAAGUUGAAUAGUUUUUACUUUUGAUAAAACUUAUUUAGUUAUAUGUGUGUGUGAAGUGAAGAAAUCAAAUUCAACUGCAAAAGUGUCAAGUAAUUAAAAAUCAACUUCAAACCCUAAAUAACAACAAUGGAUUUUGCUGUACAGACGAAGCGCCCGCCAAACGUCUGAUUUAUCAGAAUAAAAACCGCAAAUCAAAUUCAUCUGUUGGAACAUUCAUUUUCACUCGGAAUUCAAUUCGGAAAAAAAUGUGGAAAUUAUAUAGUGGAAGUGAAAGAUAGAAUACCGAAAGUCGGAUUAAAAGUGAGAUGCCGCACAGUGUUCACUGUAGACGCUAUUGUUGCUGUGGAGCAAAGUAUCAAAGAAGGCCCGAAUGAGUUCAUCCGCCAUGGCGCGCCACACCCUUUAUGGCGUAUUAAGAGAAUUUAUAAUGUGCCGAAUAUUUAAUUUAAAAAUACAUCUUUAGCUUACUAUCCUGAC